CCUACGGGAGGCUGCAGUGGGGAAUAUUGCACAAUGGGGGAAACCCUGAUGCAGCGACGCCGCGUGAAGGAAGAAGGAUUUCGGUAUGUAAACUUCUAUCAGCAUGGAAGAAAAUGACGGUACCUGACUAAGAAGCCCCGGCUAACUACGUGCCAGCAGCCGCGGUAAUACGUAGGGGGCAAGCGUUAUCCGGAUUUACUGGGUGUAAAGGGAGCGUAGGCGGUUUAGCAAGUCAGAAGUGAAAGCCCGGGGCUCAACUCCGGGACUGCUGUUGAAACUGUUGAACUAGAGUGCAGGAGAGGUAAGUGGAAUUCCUAGUGUAGCGGUGAAAUGCGUAGAUAUUAGGAGGAACACCAGUGGCGAAGGCGGCUUACUGGACUGUAAAUGACGCUGAGGCUCGAAAGCGUGGGGAGCAAACAGGAUUAGAUACCCCUGUAGUC
RNAcentral lists this ribosomal RNA (440 nucleotides) under uncultured bacterium. RNAcentral's name for it is "partial 16S ribosomal RNA". It matches the Rfam family "Bacterial small subunit ribosomal RNA", at positions 338 to 795 of the family's 1533-position model. The record is from RNAcentral.